UCCAUCUUUGCUUUUGCAGGGCUUAUUAAGUUGUGCUUUGCAUCGCAAUGAAGAUUGGUGACACCAACAUGCUCCUAGAACUACAUCAAUGUUAUUUAUGAGUAGUUCUUCUAUUUAUAAGCUUACACGAUUAGAUCCAUGUAUUCUUCUUGUCC
Molecule: long non-coding RNA, 155 nt
Organism: Telopea speciosissima
Lineage: Eukaryota; Viridiplantae; Streptophyta; Magnoliopsida; Proteales; Proteaceae
Exons: 3
Source: RefSeq, a predicted model, not a curated record